Long non-coding RNA from Macaca fascicularis (crab-eating macaque), 2193 nucleotides. The record is from Ensembl. Lineage: Eukaryota; Metazoa; Chordata; Mammalia; Primates; Cercopithecidae.
UUUUUUUUUUUUUAUUUUUUCGGUAUAAAGGGCAUGGGGUGAAAUUCAAGGCCUACAGAUUAGUUCCAGUACUGUGUCCAUGUUAAAUUUCUUAUUUUGCUCAUCAUAGUAUAGGAACAUGUCUUUGUUUCUAUAAAAUACAUACUGAAGUAUUCAGGCAUAAAGGACAUCCUGUUUGGAACUUAGUCUCAGAUGAUUCAGAAAAAAUAUGUGUGUGUUUAUGUAUGUAUGUUACAUAUGUAUAUUUCUGCCUACCUACCUAUCGAGGAAUAAUAAAGCAAAUAUGACAAAAAUGUUACCAACUGGACCAUCUGGGGGAAGGGUCUAUUUGAGUGUCUUUCUCUGUUCUUCCAACUUUUCUCUAAGUUUGAAAUUAUUUCAAAAUAAAAAGAUAAAAAGAAAAAGGCAAGUGCCCUAUUUUGCUUGUUGAUGAAUAAGGACAAGCCAUCGAAGGAGAGGAUGUGAGGGUAUAGUAGGAACUCCAAGCCACAGGAAAGACUUGGCCAGACUUUUCUGGAAUGCAACUGGGCAGUUUGUAUUAAGAAUCUUAAAAAUAUUCAUAACUUUUAGUCCCAUUUCUGUUCAAAUAAAAUAAACAAAAAUGCAAAGACUUAUGCACAAGUAUCUUAUUACAGUGGGACUUCCAACAAUAAAAUAUUGGAGACAAUUUAAAUAUUUAACAAUGGGGGCCUGGUAUAGCCCUACCGUGGAAUAGGAUGUGCCCAUUAAAUGAUGUCUCUGAAGAGUUUUUAACAGCAUGACUAGGUACUUAUCUUAUAAUGUCCUGUGACAUACCAGAAUAAAAUGUACAUGCCAUAGAACCUCAAUUACAUCCAAAAUAUGCAUUAUAAAUCUGGAGGAAAGUAAACCAAAAUGCCAAAAUGUUGAGUAUACUUGGUAGCAUUUCUCCCUACUUCUUAAUAUUUUUUUAGUAAUAUCACAUUUUUUAUCAUAAGGAAAUAUCCUAAAGCCAGAAAACAACAAAUAAAGUAGCAAUGAAGUUCUGAGUCUGUGACCGGGUGACGACAGCGUCUGAACGGUUCUCCCUCCGGCAGCGAGGAGCAGCCCCUUGGACGCGCUCCAGUCCCAGUUCUUGAGAAAGUGGGGAAGACUCCGUGGGGGAAGAGGAGGGGUUGCUGAUGUCAUGGUGACCAUGUGGAGUGUGACACACCUACAGGUCAUGAUGGGCUGUGUGCUGGGCACUCCAGAAUCUCAUUUAAUCCCCUAGUGGAUAAGGAACACUAAGUAUUGGAGAGACGGAAUGAUUUACCCAAGGCCAGUGUGUAGGAAGAGGUGAGGCUGGAAUUUCAAGUGAGAUCGGGAGACUCCAAAACCUGUGCUUUUAAUUCCAGCCCUGCCUGGCCUCCCAGGUCAUGCCCGUGGUGGGUGAACUGGGGGCGCUGGCCCCCACGUUGCCAUCCUGACUAGUCAGCCUGUUUGCUUCCUCCUCUCUGGUGUGAUUUCCUCAAGCUUGUUAUUAAAUAGCAAACAUCCUUCCUUCUUUUUCUCCUGGAAUUCUCAUCCCACAGUGGCCUAAGGGGAAGGCAAACUGUAUGCUUGUGCCUAGGAAGCAUGACCGCGCCAUCCAGCCUCCCUCCAAUGGCGAUGCACCAAGCCUUCCAGCAGCAGUGAAUGCAGCCUUGUUAAGAGUGAUUCUGACCCCUCGUUCUCCGUCACCUCACAAGGCGUAACUACAGGGGCAGCUGCAGGGAGAGAUGUAGGUUGGCAUUCAGAAGCCUUUCUGACAGCAAGAGUGAAUCAACACAAAAUGAAUUACACAAAGACACCAUUCACUGUCUCCCCAGAGAGUCUGGAGAAGAAAUGCCUGCCAUUUGUGUAGCUCUUUUUGAUGUUCAAAGCUCUGUGGCACACGGCCCUCAUUAGGUUCUCACAAGAACUCCCUAAGAAAGACAAGGCAGGAAUUACUUCCCUUAGGAAAGGAAACUAAGGCUCAGGGAAACCAAGUUAUUUGCCUCCAGUCAUUGGUGACUAGAUCGGUCUUCUAACUUCCUCUUUAUCCCUUCUUACUCCUUCUGCAAACGGUACCAGUAGGAUGCUGGCAGAGGGGAAGAUCCCUUAUUGUCUCACCCUGGGGCAAGGAGAUGGGCUAGAUCAAUCCUAAUGCUGCUUCCUGCCUUGGAAGAUGAAUUUGCCUCCAAGAGGUGGGCCCUCCAUGCUUAUAAAUCCUCCUUC